RNAcentral lists this ribosomal RNA (475 nucleotides) under uncultured bacterium. RNAcentral describes it as "SSU rRNA". It matches the Rfam family "Bacterial small subunit ribosomal RNA", at positions 26 to 521 of the family's 1533-position model. The record is from RNAcentral.
AGGAUGAACGCUGGCGGCGUGCCUAACACAUGCAAGUCGAACGUCCUGUCUCGCAAGAGGCAGGGAGUGGCGGACGGGUGAGUACCACGUGGGUCAUCUACCGUGAGGUGAGGAAUACCGGCGAGAAAUCGCCGACAAGACCGCAUAGGCUCGAUGCAAGUCGAGCAAAGCUCUUUCGAGAGAGGGAGCGCCACACGAGGAGCCUGCGCCCGAUUAGCUAGCUGGUGGAGUAACGGUUCACCAGGGCGACGAUCGGUAGCUGGUCUGAGAGGACGAUCAGCCACACUGGGAUUGAGAACGGCCCAGACUCCUACGGGGGGCAGCAGUGAGGAAUUUUCGUCAAUGGGGGCAACCCUGAACGAGCAACGCCGCGUGCAGGAAGAAGGUUUUCGGAUCGUAAACUGCUUUUCUCGGGAAGAGAACGGACGGUACCCGAGGAAUCAGCCCCGGCUAACUACGUGCCAGCAGCCGCGGU